RNAcentral lists this ribosomal RNA (854 nucleotides) under uncultured bacterium Gf13. RNAcentral's name for it is "SSU rRNA". It matches the Rfam family "Bacterial small subunit ribosomal RNA", at positions 524 to 1382 of the family's 1533-position model. The record is from RNAcentral. Lineage: Bacteria; Pseudomonadati; Bacteroidota; Bacteroidia; Bacteroidales; Bacteroidaceae.
UACGGAGGAUGCGAGCGUUAUCCGGAUUUAUUGGGUUUAAAGGGUGCGUAGGUUGUCCGGCAAGUCGGCGGUGAAAUGUUCCUGCUUAACAGGGAAGCUGCCGUCGAAACUGCCGGACUUGAGUGUAAACGGGGCAGGCGGAAUUCGUGAUGUAGCGGUGAAAUGCAUAGAUAUCACGCAGAACCCCGAUUGCGAAGGCAGCUUACCAAGGCAACACUGACACUGAAGCACGAAAGCGUGGGUAUCAAACAGGAUUAGAUACCCUGGUAGUCCACGCUGUAAACGAUGAUUACUAGUUGUUUGCGAUAGAGUGUAAGCGACACAGCGAAAGCGUUAAGUAAUCCACCUGGGGAGUACGUCGGCAACGGUGAAANUCAAAGGAAUUGACGGGGGCCCGCACAAGCGGAGGAACAUGUGGUUUAAUUCGAUGAUACGCGAGGAACCUUACCCGGGUUUGAACGCAAUAUGACAGGUGGUGAAAGCCGUCUUCUAGCAAUAGCAUAUUGCGAGGUGCUGCAUGGUUGUCGUCAGCUCGUGCCGUGAGGUGUCGGCUUAAGUGCCAUAACGAGCGCAACCCUCACCGUUAGUUACCAUCAAGUAAGUUGGGGACUCUAACGGGACUGCCGGCGUAAGCCGUGAGGAAGGUGUGGAUGACGUCAAAUCAGCACGGCCCUUACAUCCGGGGCGACACACGUGUUACAAUGGGCGGGACAAAGGGCUGCUACCGGGCAACCGGAUGCCAAUCUCCAAACCCGCUCUCAGUUCGGAUCGGAGUCUGCAACUCGACUCCGUGAAGCUGGAUUCGCUANUAAUCGCGCAUCAGCCAUGGCGCGGUGAAUACNUUCCCGGGCCUU